AGCGGCGUAAGGGACAGUAAUGUAUAGGUACGUACCCUUGGGUCUAGGAUAGCUGCGGGAAACUGCAAUUAAUACUAGAUGAUGUCUUCGGACCAAAGGUGUGAUUCCACCCAAGGAGCGGCCUAUAUCCUAUUAGCUAGUUGGGGAGGUGACGGCUCACCAAGGCGAUGAUGGGUAGCAGGUGUGAGAGCACGACCUGCGUCACUGGGACUGAGACACUGCCCAGACACCUACGGGUGGCUGCAGUCGAGAAUAUUCGGCAAUGGGCGAAAGCCUGACCGAGCGACGCCGCGUGCGGGAUGAAGGCCUUCGGGUUGUAAACCGCUGUCGGGGGGGAUGAAAUAUCAGUGGGUUCUCCCAUUGAUUUGACAGAUCUCCGGAGGAAGGGUGGGCUAAGUUCGUGCCAGCAGCCGCGGUAAGACGUACCACCCAAACGUUAUUCGGAAUCACUGGGCUUAAAGAGUCCGUAGGCGGCUCGGAAAGUUGGGUGUGAAAUACCUCGGCUCAACCGAGGAACUGCACUCAAAACUACCAAGCUUGAGAGAGACAGAGGUAAGCGGAACUGAUGGUGGAGCGGUGAAAUGCGUUGAUAUCAUCAGGAACACCGGUGGCGAAAGCGGCUUACUGGGUCUCUUCUGACGCUGAGGGACGAAAGCUAGGGGAGCGAACGGGAUUAGAUACCCCGGUAGUCCUAGCCUUAAACGAUGAGCACUAGAUCGAAGG
This 723-nucleotide ribosomal RNA is filed under the name uncultured Planctomycetota bacterium. RNAcentral describes it as "bacterial SSU rRNA". It matches the Rfam family "Bacterial small subunit ribosomal RNA", at positions 94 to 827 of the family's 1533-position model. Lineage: Bacteria; Pseudomonadati; Planctomycetota. The record is from RNAcentral.